UGGGGAAUCUUGGACAAUGGGGGCAACCCUGAUCCAGCCAUGCCGCGUGAGUGAUGAAGGCCUUAGGGUCGUAAAGCUCUUUCGCCUGUGAAGAUAAUGACGGUAGCAGGUAAAGAAACCCCGGCUAACUCCGUGCCAGCAGCCGCGGUAAUACGGAGGGGGUUAGCGUUGUUCGGAAUUACUGGGCGUAAAGCGCACGUAGGCGGACCAGAAAGUUGGGGGAUGAAAUCCCGGGGGCUCAACCCCGGAACUGCCUCCAAAACUAUUGGUCUAGAGUUCGAGAGAGGUGAGUGGAAUUCCAAGUGUAGAGGUGAAAUUCGUAGAUAUUUGGAGGAACACCAGUGGCGAAGGCGGCUCACUGGCUCGAUACUGACGCUGAGGUGCGAAAAGUGUGGGGAGCAAACAGGAUUAGAUACCCUGGUAGUCCACACCGUAAAACGAUGAAUGCCAGUCGUCGGGUAGCAUGCUAUUCGGUGACACACCUAACGGAUUAAGCAUUCC
RNAcentral lists this ribosomal RNA (501 nucleotides) under uncultured bacterium. RNAcentral describes it as "bacterial SSU rRNA". It matches the Rfam family "Bacterial small subunit ribosomal RNA", at positions 355 to 870 of the family's 1533-position model. The record is from RNAcentral.